RNAcentral lists this ribosomal RNA (496 nucleotides) under uncultured bacterium. Its description in RNAcentral is "partial 16S ribosomal RNA". It matches the Rfam family "Bacterial small subunit ribosomal RNA", at positions 28 to 507 of the family's 1533-position model. The record is from RNAcentral.
GACGAACGCUGGCGGCGUGCCUAAUACAUGCAAGUUGAGCGCUGAAGGUUGGUACUUGUACCAACUGGAUGAGCAGCGAACGGGUGAGUAACGCGUGGGGAAUCUGCCUUUGAGCGGGGGACAACAUUUGGAAACGAAUGCUAAUACCGCAUAAAAACUUUAAACACAAGUUUUAAGUUUGAAAGAUGCAAUUGCAUCACUUAAAGAUGAUCCCGCGUUGUAUUAGCUAGUUGGUGAGGUAAAGGCUCACCAAGGCGAUGAUACAUAGCCGACCUGAGAGGGUGUUCGGCCACAUUGGAACUGAGACACGGCCCAAACUCCUACGGGAGGCACCAGUAGGGAAUCUUCGGCAAUGGCCGAAAGCCUGACGGAGCAACGCCGCGUGAGUGAGGAAGGUUUUCGGAUCGUAAAACUCUUUUGUUAGGGAAGAACGUAGGUGGAAGUGAAAGGCCCUUAAGUGACGGUAACUAACCAGAAAGGGACGGCUAACUACGUG